GUGCCCUUGGGGACAUCAUCCGGUAAAAUUGAAACGAUAUAGAGAAGAUUAGUGUGGCCCCUGCGUAAGGAUGGCACACAUAAAUCGAAAAGAAAGCGGGCGAGCU
Hordeum vulgare subsp. vulgare (domesticated barley) is the source of this 106-nucleotide non-coding RNA. NCBI's taxonomy places the organism in Eukaryota, Viridiplantae, Streptophyta, Magnoliopsida, Poales, Poaceae. The record is from Rfam.